This is a long non-coding RNA of Lontra canadensis (Northern American river otter), 275 nucleotides long. RefSeq lists it as uncharacterized. The record is from RefSeq and is a predicted model, not a curated record. Lineage: Eukaryota; Metazoa; Chordata; Mammalia; Carnivora; Mustelidae. The transcript has 3 exons.
GCUCUAGAGACCUCAGUUUUCCUUCAUUUAGCUAUCACCACUAUGUGUAGGUUCAUGAAGCAUAUGAUAUCCUGGCAUGGAGUCACACCUAACAUCAUCUUUGGACCAAGGGACCUUCUUUGUAGUAAAAGUUGACCUUGGCCAAGCAAAAGGCCCCUUGCCUGGGAAGUUUUCUCUACUAGGGUGGAUAGCCCAUUCCAAUAACUGACUGACUUGGAGAUACCGACUGUGGACACUCUUGCUUCAAGGUGAGAUGAGCUCUGUGGGCAAUCUGA